CCUACGGGAGGCAGCAGUGGGGAAUAUUGCACAAUGGGGGAAACCCUGAUGCAGCGACGCCGCGUGAGUGAAGAAGUCUUUCGGUACGUAAAGCUCUAUUAGCAGGGAAGAAAAUGACGGUACCUGACUAAGAAGCCCAGGCUAACUACGUGCCAGCAGCCGCGGUAAUACGGAGGGGGCAAGCGUUAUCCGGAUUUACUGGGUGUAAAGGGAGCGUAGGCGGCAGCGCAAGUCUGAAGUGAAAUCCCAUGGCUUAGCCAUGGAGCUGCUUUUGAAACUGUGGAGCUGGAGUUCAGGUGAGGUAGGCGGAAUGCGUAGUGUAGCGGUGAAAUGCGUAGAUAUUAGGAGGAACACCAGUGGCGAAGGCGGCUUACUGGACUGUAUCUGACGUUGAGGCUCGAAAGCGUGGGGAGCAAACAGGAUUAGAUACCCUUGUAGUC
This 440-nucleotide ribosomal RNA is filed under the name uncultured bacterium. Its description in RNAcentral is "partial 16S ribosomal RNA". It matches the Rfam family "Bacterial small subunit ribosomal RNA", at positions 338 to 795 of the family's 1533-position model. The record is from RNAcentral.